UACGUAGGGGGCAAGCGUUGUCCGGAAUCAUUGGGCGUAAAGCGCGUGUAGGCGGCUUGGUAAGUCCGCUCUGAAAGCCCGGGGCUCAACCCCGGGAGGCGGGUGGAUACUGUCAAGCUCGAGUCCGGAAGAGGCGAGUGGAAUUCCUGGUGUAGCGGUGAAAUGCGCAGAUAUCAGGAGGAACACCGGUGGCGAAGGCGGCUUGCUGGGCCAGUUCUGACGCUGAGGAGCGAAAGCGUGGGGAGCGAACAGG
This 253-nucleotide ribosomal RNA is filed under the name uncultured bacterium. Its description in RNAcentral is "partial 16S ribosomal RNA". It matches the Rfam family "Bacterial small subunit ribosomal RNA", at positions 524 to 776 of the family's 1533-position model. The record is from RNAcentral.